RNAcentral lists this ribosomal RNA (253 nucleotides) under uncultured bacterium. RNAcentral's name for it is "partial 16S ribosomal RNA". It matches the Rfam family "Bacterial small subunit ribosomal RNA", at positions 524 to 776 of the family's 1533-position model. The record is from RNAcentral.
UACAGAGGGGGCAAGCGUUGUUCGGAAUUACUGGGCGUAAAGGGCGCGUAGGCGGCCUUCUAAGUCGAACGUGAAAUCCCUGGGCUUAACCCAGGAACUGCGUCCGAUACUGGGAGGCUUGAAUUCGGGAGAGGGAUGCGGAAUUCCAGGUGUAGCGGUGAAAUGCGUAGAUAUCUGGAGGAACACCGGUGGCGAAGGCGGGUCUCUGGGCCGAUACUGACGCUGAGGAGCGAAAGCGUGGGGAGCGAACAGG